GACUAUGUGGCUCAGUGACAGAGCCUCUGAUUUGAAUGCAGAAGGCCCCGAGUUCAAUUCCUGGCAUUUCCA
This 72-nucleotide transfer RNA is filed under the name Sphaerodactylus townsendi. RNAcentral's name for it is "tRNA-Ser". It matches the Rfam family "tRNA". From Rfam's summary of the family: Transfer RNA (tRNA) molecules are approximately 80 nucleotides in length. Their secondary structure includes four short double-helical elements and three loops (D, anti-codon, and T loops). Lineage: Eukaryota; Metazoa; Chordata; Lepidosauria; Squamata; Sphaerodactylidae. The record is from RNAcentral.